Molecule: unclassified non-coding RNA, 387 nt
Filed under: uncultured Gemmatimonadaceae bacterium
Lineage: Bacteria; Pseudomonadati; Gemmatimonadota; Gemmatimonadia; Gemmatimonadales; Gemmatimonadaceae
Description: contains 16S-23S intergenic spacer region
Source: RNAcentral
UCCGAGUUGACCCCGGCAGUCUCCCACGAGUCCCCACCACCCCGAAGGGCGUGCUGGCAACAUAGGACGAGGGUUUCGCUCGUUAUAGGACUUGACCAAACAUCUCACGACACGGGCUGACGACAGCCAUGCAGCACCUGUGCACGGACUCCGAAGAGGGGCCGAUGUUUCCACCGGCUUUCCCGUGCAUGUCAAGCCCAGGUAAGGUUCUUCGCGUUGCUUCGAAUUAAACCACAUGCUCCACCGCUUGUGCGGGCCCCCGUCAAUUCCUUUGAGUUUCAGCCUUGCGGCCGUACUCCCCAGGCGGGGCACUUACUGCGUUAGCGACGGCACCGGGAGGGUCGCUCCCCCCGACGCCUAGUGCCCAUCGUUUACGGCGUGGACUAC